Budorcas taxicolor (takin) is the source of this 390-nucleotide non-coding RNA. The record is from the annotation of a RefSeq genome assembly. Lineage: Eukaryota; Metazoa; Chordata; Mammalia; Artiodactyla; Bovidae.
AUGAGGCUGGUGACUGGAGUAACGGUGUUUCUGACCUUGGGGACUGUGAUUGAUGCUAAGACCACCCAGCCAAACUCCAUGGAUUGUGCUAAAGGAGAGGCUGUAAACCUGCCUUGUAACCACUCUACCAUCAGUGGAGAUGACUAUAUACAUUGGUAUCGGCAAAAUCCCAAUCAGAGUCCACAGUAUGUCAUUCAUGGCUUUCGAGACACAGUGAAUGGCAGCAUGGCCUCUCUGACCAUAGCUUCAGACAGAAAGUCCAGCACCCUGGUCCUGCCCCAGGUCACCCUGAGAGACGCCGCUGUGUACUACUGUGCCCUGAGAGAGGCUCCACUUAGCAUAAAUAAAUUACUUUUUCUAAGAAAAACCCCAAAUGUUUUUUCUUACUAG